Molecule: ribosomal RNA, 838 nt
Filed under: uncultured Spirochaetota bacterium
Lineage: Bacteria; Pseudomonadati; Spirochaetota
Description: bacterial SSU rRNA
Rfam family: Bacterial small subunit ribosomal RNA
Source: RNAcentral
AGAGUUUGAUCAUGGCUCAGAACGAACGCUGGCGGCGCGUUUUAAGCAUGCAAGUCGAACGGUAGAGAGGUGCUUGCACCUCUUGAGAGUGGCGAACGGGUGAGUAACGCGUAGAUGAUCUACCUUACGGUUGGGGAUAGCUCAUGGAAACAUGGGGUAAUACCGAAUGAGCUCUUGAAGCUGUAGCUUUGGGAGGAAAGGGGCUUCGGCCUCGCCGAGGGAUGAGUCUGCGUAUGAUUAGCUAGUUGGUGUGGUAAAGGCGCACCAAGGCGACGAUCAUUAGCCGGCCUGAGAGGGUGACCGGCCACAUUGGGACUGAGACACGGCCCAGACUCCUACGGGAGGCAGCAGCUAAGAAUCUUCCGCAAUGGGCGCAAGCCUGACGGAGCGACGCCGCGUGGGUGAAGAAGGCCGAGAGGUUGUAAAGCCCUUUUCUCACAGAAGAAUAAGCUUUUGAGGUAAUGCGAGAGUGAUGACGUUAUGUGAGGAAUAAGCACCGGCCAAUUACGUGCCAGCAGCCGCGGUAACACGUAAGGUGCGAGCGUUGUUCGGAAUUAUUGGGCGUAAAGGGCUCGUAGGUGGCCUGCCAAGUCCCACGUGAAAGACCAGGGCUCAACCCUGGGAGCGCGAGGGAAACUGGCAAGCUGGAAUCUUGGAGGGGGUACUGGAAUUCCUGGUGUAGGGGUGAAAUCUGUUGAUAUCAGGAAGAACACCGGAGGCGAAGGCGAGUACCUGGCCAAAGAUUGACGCUGAUGAGCGAAAGCGUAGGGAGCGAACAGGAUUAGAUACCCUGGUAGUCUACGCCGUAAACGAUGUGCACUUGGUGGUGGUCCCGUCC